Long non-coding RNA from Manis pentadactyla (Chinese pangolin), 11404 nucleotides. RefSeq lists it as uncharacterized. The transcript is spliced from 4 exons. NCBI's taxonomy places the organism in Eukaryota, Metazoa, Chordata, Mammalia, Pholidota, Manidae. The record is from RefSeq and is a predicted model, not a curated record.
UCCCUCUCCCUGUCUCUCUUCUCUCCCAGAGGCUGAUUCAAACUGUUUUACAGGCCUUUUAUGGCAGUCCAGAAGACUACCUACUUACUCCUUCAGGGGAAGAGAUGAUUUUGCUCAUCCUCUCCCCACAGCUCACCCGACUGAACACACACACACACACACACACACUCCCAAAUUAAAAUAUUCCAGAAAAUGGUCAUAAAUAUUCCCAACUACAUGGUCUGAGAAAAAAAAACUCAGGAAAGCUGCAAACUUCACAGGCCUCCCUGCCUUUUCCUGUCUCCCCUCCCUGGCCCAUCUUCUUUCUCGCUCAAACCUCUCUUCUCUCUGUUUACCUCAUAAAUCCUUCUUUUCAUUCGGUGUCUCCCAGCCCAGCCCAGGCAGCCAGAAGUAAAGGCUCCGGGAACCGACAAUAGUGGUUUUGUGGUGCUGACCCACAAGCGAGCCUGGUAACAAUUACAUGUGAUGUGGAGGGAAACGUUUUUCAGCUUUGGGCCAGAACAGGCCCUGGAGGGUGAUUUCAGCUUUUUUCUUUUUUUUUUUUAAUAGAAAGAAAAAGAAAACCCCCAAACAUUUAAUUCCACAUACACCACAAAUUUGAUUUAUUAUUUCAUUAUACACCCAGUGGAAAAAUCUGCAUUAGAGAAUCCACUGGCUCUGACCUCAGAGUCUCGACAAAAGUGCUUUGUGCUGAGAGGACGCCUGCGUUCGUCCGUGCUCUCUGCCCACUGUCCCUCCUGCCCGGCCACCGCCAGCAGGGUGUGCUGCAGCUUCGCGACCAGCCACUUGAAGGCAGCUGCACGGGAGGAGCGCCCCCCGCUUCCCAGCAGUGCCCGGCUGGAGGUAAACAGCUUCAUGUGGGCCAGGAGGGAAAGGGGCAAUCUUCAAAGACAGAAAAGGUGGAUGAUGACAUUUGAAGAAUCUCAUAGAGUUGGGAGUGAAGUUCUGUAAUCCCCAUGAGGGGUUCCUGGGAAAUGGGGGGUUUUGCUUAAUACUUCAGUAGAACAGAAGACGGGAAGGCACAGGAGACCUGGAAAUAUUCAGAAGCCUCCCGGAGACCUUCCGGAGAUGUGCGCCUCUCUUGGCAUCAAUCACAAUUUAAUAUCGCCAUCUGCAUGGAGCAGCAUGGGCCGUUGAAUUAUGUAUUACGGCUCAGCAGCCACCCUACAGGACGGGGUCUUUCUCCUGUGUUCCCUCUUUGAGGGAGAGGGUCAUGCAUUUUUUAACUCUACAGGUGCACUUUACUGUUCCCCACGUCCGUUGGCAUUACUGUCUUCCAGACCUCUGCUUUAGAUUAUCAGCCUGACAGGCUUUAAAUGCAUAAAAGAUGGGCAUGCUGCUCAAUGUGCUUGGGACACACAAAUCCACACAAGUAGCCUUUUAGGCAUCAUGCCUCCAAGACCUCAAACUGUGCCGUGUUGAACUGCCCAAAAUCUAAUGGAUUCAGGUUCCAUUUCCUACUGGGUGGAAAACAAAAGCAGGCCAUUUCCUCUGGCUAGCAGAGACCACAUCAUCCCCUAACUAAUGACCCUGCACCCUCCCCAAUCCAGGAAGACAAUGGGCUGGCCCUCCCGCCCAGACAGACAUGUGGCCAGCAGUGAGGCCCACGGCCGCCUGCUCCUCUGCAGCCAAUCCCUUCAGGCUUUUUAGGUACCCAUAAUAUUCAUCCACACUGGGCACCCAACAUCUUUCAGCAACUCAAAUUGUGGCCCAUUUGUCCUGGCUCAUGCCUGUGAAAUAGGGCUGUGAGUGGCCCUCUGAGAAGGCAGAGGUGUACAGACUUAAGACUGCCAGCUGCCCUUACCAAGCUGGCAGGAGAGGCAACUUUCUACUGGGCACAGCUCCUUUGCCAGCUCUUCUGCUGAACACUGCUGCCCUGCCACCGACUCACCUCAAACCACAUUUUUCACCUUGGAAUUCAUCAGAGGGAAUCCGAGCUGAGCUCCUGUUUAAUGACCACGAUGGUCCCUAUAUCAUCUGUGUUCUCUCCCUCCUCUCCUAAUCCUCCCCUGCUUCUCUCCCAUCACUCUUCAAAGAACUUCUCUCCCUCAAGUCUCCAUAUCCUCCCCAUCCCAAGUUUAAGCUUUUAGUAAUUAGACCAAGCACACAUAAUCAGCAAUAAAGAUAGGAAACUUCCUCAGAGGAAGGUUUCAUUUCUCAUCCACACCAGGAGUAAUCAUUUCCCCUCUUAAAAAAAAAAAUUAAACUAUACACAUAUAUCCCACAGCUGGUAGUCUGCAUUUUCUGCUGUUAAAAACCUACUGAACUAGAAGACAAAGGAGUAAUCCAUUUCUUUUUUUCCUGUCCUGUCUUUCUCUGAAGAAAAUCAAGGCACUUAUUAAAAUAUUUGAGAACUCAUUAAAACAUCUGCUUUGCUUGUGGGUAGUUAACCUUUUCAAUACCCGAACAUUAUCAACUCACAUUUUUGUUUGUCUAGCACUCACACUCAGAAACAUACACAAACACAUAUAGGGAACAUACAUCAGGUACAUAUGCAUAUUAGAAACUCACAAUUUCAUCCUGUAGGCACUUUCACACACUCUCAUAAAACAUCACAUAUCAUUUGCACAGACAUAUAUCCACCAAGAUAAAUACUAGAAUUUCUGUCUCUGUUUUUCUUGGAAAGAAAUGAAUUCUUGAAAUAUAUCAAUAAAAACUGUAAAGGAAACACACCUAAUCCUUCUAUACCUCCUUUUAAUAAUCGAUCUUUCAUUUCCAGAUUUGGAGACCCUUCAUUUCCUAAAUACAACCAUGCCCCCAACAGAAAUAAGCUAGACUGUCUUCUGAAGAACUCUUAUCAUCCAUUACUUUGGAGGCCUUUAUUGUGUUCCGAAAGGACCAGCAUAAAUGCUCUCUGUCCUGUUUCAGAGGGGUCCUGGCCAGCCAAAAGAGAGUUGAACUCAAGGGCAAACCCCUUUAGGCCAAUCUCCAUAUACAGAAGGGAAGUUGGCCUGUGGAAGUGUGAGCAACUAAGCCUGUUUGGUGAGUUGACAAGGGACUUCUUUCUCCAACUAUUUUGUGAAUACCUUUCACCUGGGGCAUAUUCCUUUCCCAAAGAGCAGUAGGCAAACCCAGGCCUGGACUGUUCGAGCAAUUUUCUCCUACAACUGGGAGGGAGGCCUAAGGGAUGGGCCAGUUCAGGUCAGAUGAGGCCUCAGAGGCCCAAGGAUGAAAGGAUUAAAGUGACACCUUCAGACAUAACUGUGAUAAAGGGAAUACUAAAUUCUAAAGUCAAAAAGGUCUGACUUUUCCCCCAUAAGGACUACUUAUGUGUUUUUAUUUGACAUAUAAAAUGUCAGAUUAUUUCUGAUUUCACAUCUUUCUGUCUCUCUCUUUUUAUUAAUUUUUUUCUCAGGUGCCCUUGCUUUGCUGAUGACCUAAGCACCAUCUGACUCUGCCUAGAGAUGACCUGGCCCUGGAUCAGGUAAGGAGAUUUUGUAGCCAUCCACUUACAAUUCUAAGGCACUUUGCCAGCUUCAAAAUGAAUUCACCUUCCUACAGAACCCGGUUUAAGACAAAUCACUGGUUCCUUGGUAAUCUGUGAUUUUUAGGAAGUAUCAAGAGGGAGUAAAAGCAUAUCUUUUUGGAAAUCUGGUCUGCCUUCUAGGGAAAUUCAACUGGAGUUGUUUUAAGGGAAUGCUGUUUGACCUGAGCAGGACAGUACUAUUUGCUAAAAUCUGCAGCCUGACUGUAGUGAGGACUUUCACAUAAUCCCAACUGCAAUGGCUUACUUCAUGACAGCCAGGUACAUCAGGCGACACCAGGCAACAACAUGGCGGCAGUCCCAAGGUAACAGAGCAAGAGUCAGAUAAUUUGGUUUAGAUGAACUGAAGGAAAAAGUCCUUGGUAAAAACAGGGAAAUUGAGGACUGGUUGGAUAUGAGAUUAGAGUCAGGUUGUUUGUUGUCAAAGGUGGGCCUGAGAAUAUGGGACAGGGAGACAAGGAUGGGGUCGGUGGGAGGCUGAGAUUAGCAAGAAGAAGGGAUGGGGCACCUGAAAUCUUAACUUGGUGACCUUCCUGGGUCUCAGCUUCUGGAACUGUAAUUCAAUGAGUGGACUGAAUAAGUGUGUAGUUUUCAAAAUUCUUUUUAGAAGUGUUUCUUUUUCCCUUGAGCAAAGCUGUACCCAGAACUCCGAUGUGCAAAGCAGAUAUAAGUGGCACUCUCCUUGGGUGCCAGGGGUAGGAUGGCCAGAAGCGGUGUGGUGUCCUGGCCUCACAGGCCCUACCAUCAUCUCUGAGGCCCUACCUUCCCGGUUAGAACGCCAGUGCUUCCUGGGACAGGGUUUGAAACCCGCUGAACUAGAUCUCAGUUCCGUUGGUACUUUAAAAGGUCUUAGAAAAGAGAAAGGGUGGAAGGAUCAGAAGACUUCUAUUGCUUAUAUAUACCUGAGGGCACUUGGUGGAGAAAAGCAGUUGAUCUCAUUUCCCCUGAAAAAAAUACACUUUAUUUACUCUGUAAUUUAUCCUCUAUCCUCAGCAUAAUCCCAUUCCACCCCUGAUUUCCACAGCAUUGUUUUCAUUUAAUUAUUAGCAGCAAAGCAAAGAAGCUCUUUCCCCUACUUAACUAGAAAGAAGGCUGUCACUUUGCCACUUUGUCACUUAACCACUGGCAAGCUGUGUGACCUUGGGUAAGUUAGUAAACAACUCUGAGCCUUUGUUUUCUCAUCUUUGCACUGAGAGUAUUGAUUCUACAGGUCAGUUCUAAAAUUCAAAGCCUACAGUAUAGUACGAGGGAGAAAAGAAAAACCUAUGGGUUGAACACAAAAUUUAAAAGAAUCUCUACCCUUCUAGAUAACAAAACAUUUGUUCAAGGUGUUACUCCUGGUUCAUAUGCUUGGUAAGCCUGAAACAAAACUAAGAUUUUCCACAUGAACAUGUCUGUCUUGCAUUAUGGAGAGUUCAAAUGUUUCUUUUAAUCACAUUAGCUCUAUUGACGUGAGUUUCUUUUCUUAACUGAGUCUGUGGCUGCAUAUUUAUAAAUAUUAUGGAUACACAGUUCUGUGUGUGAGUGUGUCAACAACAGUGAUGCAUGAAAAGACAGACCAAAAAGAGUUUCUUCAAAUCCUGCACCCAAAGGAUCUAAGUUCUCUGCCCAGGGUUUUAACCAAAUUUUGCUCACUAACCCUGGAUAAGCUGCUUUUUAAGGGUCAUUUCUGUGAGCUGAGGCUGGAUUUUGCUUUAUUCAAAGCAACUUCAGCCUGUCACAAGACAGUCUCAUAAAAUCUGUAUCUUGGCUUAAGCUGGGAAGAAAAUGAGCCAAUCCAUCAGCCCAGGAAUGUGGCUGUUUGACCACUUCCUAAGGCAACUGGGAAGGGAUGCAAUCUAUUCAAUUUAUGGGGCUGGGUGGCAGUGAAUGAUGCACUCCUGAAGGCACAGCAAAUGGAAAUCCCUGUGAACUUCUGCAGUGAUAAAGUUCAAAAUCUGAAUAAAAAGAACCUCUGGGAGGGCAGGAAGAAGGGGAUCAGAGAGCAGGAGAGGAAGCCAGCAUGUGAGCAUGGAAAAAGAAGUAAGGAACUCUUUUAAAAUAUCUCCAAGAACAGAACUGGAAAUGGGGCCUGGAAAUGGGGCCUGUGGAUAGCCUCUUCCCCUCAAUCUGGAUUCUAAAAAUGAACCUUCAUUUAAUCGUUAAAAUCCCUUAUUGCAAAUGCAAUUUUGAUGCCAUCGACGAGAGAUCUGAGAUUACAAUUCCUGACCAUUUCAGCAGACAUUUGGGGAAGGAAAUAGAAGAAUAAUUUUGAGGUCUCUCCAAAAAAUGAAGGAGAAAAAAAGGUAAUAUAAUAUUAUUUUUCAUUUAUUUUGAUUAACUGAUGGCUCAUGUUGAAACGUCAAUGGCUCCCCAUUGGCUCAUAAAUGAAAUCCAAACCCCUUGGCCUAGCAAUUUGGGCCUUGCAUUUAGCUCAAGCUAUUAUUUCCAACCUUAUUUGCAAUUAUUUCCCCUCCACACAUUCUAAACUGCGGCUUCAGAGUGUUCCCCAAACAAACCCAAUGCCUGUUUCUCUGCUCUCAUCUUCCCCUUGCCUAGUACACCCUUCCCAGCUCUAAAUCCUACCUAUCCUCUCAGUCUGGACUCAGAUUCCACCUCCGCCCUCCCUGAUCUCCCACACCAAGAGUACACUUUGCCCCUCUGUCUCAAACCACUGAGGACGAGCUCUUUACUCUCUUCUAGGGUGUGUGUGAGCUGGGGACAGCUGUGUGCAUUCAGCUGGAUCACUGCCACUUGAGGGCAUGACUCCUUUCUGCUUCAUCUUUGGCAAAUUUAUAGGGUCAAACCCAGAGCCUUUCCCAAAAGUCAGACUCAAUAACGCUUGAUGAAUUAAUGAAUUACUAAUUGACUAAAGUAACACCAAAAGGAGCACUAGAAAUCACAAGUUAUAAGAGAGCCUUAUCACAAGUUGUUCUGCUUCUCUAGUUAGUAUCCUUCCUUCCCAACCCACAGCUGCUAUUAAAUUUAACCUUUUUAGUUUAAAUAUUUUGUUUGGGAUGAAAAUAUCUAGUUGUAAGUCAAGGUAGAGUUGGAACUGUGUCUCCUAAAACACACUAACCUCAGAUAAUAAUGAUGAAAUUCAAAGGAUACUUACAUUUUGAUUCUAAUAGUGGUAAAAAUAAUUAUCCAAGGGUUUUCUUGUGCCCUCACAUCACUCCCAAGCCUUAUCCUCCCAAAGACAAAUUCUAGAUACUUGUUGUCAGUAGCACCAGGAAGAUAACAAACUAUGACUUCAUCACUGAACUGUUUGCUGGUAAAAGAUUGUCUCUCGCUGGGUUUCGGUUCACUUCUCUCUACACAUCCUUUCUCCUGGCUCUCACUAUGCAUUUUGGGCAAUCUGUUUUAUUUUUCCCCUUUGUCAAAACAAAUGUAAAUUAUUAUUACCACUCGGUCCAGUAAUUUGCAAUUCCCUUUAUCUUUUUCACUGAAAGACUGGCCAGAACUCAGAUCAUUGGUUAUCACAGGAUCUUUGAAGGCGGUGAGCAGGAUAUCUAUCACUGUACGUGCGCAUUAAGCUGGCCAGAAGCCCCAUCCACGGCAGGCUACUGGGGAGAGCUUUACUUUUGUAUUCCCAGGCCCCUUCUCUUUCCUCUGGAUUAGAUCAUGACUCUUUUAUGAAGACCCAGAGGGAAAUGGGAUUAUUAAGAGUCUUGCUGGGUAAAAGCCAUUUUGUCUUUAUGAUGACUUUUUUGAGUUCAGGGGCUGAGGAGUCUUAAUGCCAGAGUAGAAGUUAUUACCCAUUCGGGGAGCACCUUCUACACAGUACUCCCUGCGGAGCACACUUUCAGUGAUGAAGGAUGGAGAAAAGGAAAGGAAAGGGGAGAGAUUAAAAAAAAUAAGUAGAGGCGAGAACACUGAAAGCAGAACAAGGAGGAAAAAAAAUGCAAAGAAGAGACGUAAUCUGAGAUGAGAAUCCAGCAGAGAAUGUCUCUAAAGAACAGUGUUGAGAGAUAAUCUGAUGCUUAUAAAACACAGACAAAGGUUUAGUGGGUUAAGAGCUUAGAGUGAAUAUUUACUGAUUAAAAAAGCUCAUAAAAAUAACACAGACUUACCACAACGGUUACAGUGUGCUUUCUAUAAUCACAAGAUAUAGUUUAUUUCACUGAAGCUGUUCUGAAGAUUUAAUGACUUCAGAAUAGGCUUAAUAUGUACUAAACAAUAUUCUAUGUAAUCUGACAUAGCACAGCAACCCUAUGGAGUAGGUAUUAUUAUCAAAUACAUUUUGCAGAUAAGGAAACUGAGUUACAGAAGGACUAAGUAUUUUGGAUCACAGAGCUGCCAAGUAAACUGGAUUUUAAAUCCAGGUGAUCUGGCUCCAAUGCUACAGAAGCUGGGAAACCCAAUGAAGGUCUCUCUAAAACUUUAUGUCACAAGCUUAUUUAGUGGUAUAUAGGGAAAGACAAAUGUUUUGCCUGUUUGAAACGCCUUUUUCUCUUUGUGUGCCAGUAAUCUGUCUGUGUGAACAAUGAGAGAUGUGUUUGAGACUGGGGUGUGAGAGGGCUGGAAGCACUUAACACCUUUUCUGCUCCCUGUAUACACAGGCACCCCGCUCCUUGUUAUCCUGGCCGUCUUCCCUGUGUGCUGGGUGGGAUGGGAGAGGGUGGUGUGGACUGGAUGCUCAAGUCGGAAGCCAUGGUCACAACACUGGAGGGUUUCUGCUUGGCAGCUUUCAGUUCUUGCCUUUCUUCUCAACCCCACUCAUCCCUAUCCUAAAGGCCUUGCUGUUUUUGUUCUGCAUAGGAGCAGCAUUUUCAGAAAUGGGGGAUUUAUUUUUAUAGCACAGCUGGUCUGCCAAAGGUCACAUAAUUUGGCAAUGUUCCCAGUGGUUAAAAAUUAAUUUCUCCUUAUUAAUACAACCAAGGUCCCAUAGGAUCAGAGCUCAGCCUUAUCUGAACUUGACAGCUUCCUAAACCUUUAGAAGAUGCUUUCUCCUGGAGGACCAGCCACACUGUAAGACCACUGUGUCCAGGACUCUAACCCCACUGAACCCUGUUAGGUAAUGAAACUAUUAAGCCUUUCAUCCAUUUCUCAUCAGGCAGAUAAAGCUUUGAAACACACUGUAGGCUCUCCAGGACAAACAUUCACAGUAUCUUCCAAGAAUGGGUUAAUUAAAAAAAAAAAAUUCUUUGCCUGGAAGGAAGAGCACAAAGAUCCUAACUUCUAGGAUCAACACACAUCUGCCACUCAAAGAAGGUGCCUCAAAGAUUAUCCAGUGUCAAAUGAUGGUCAGAUGAUAAAAUACCUCAGAAAUGUUAGUGAUACUCCAAAUUACUGCCCAGAUGUCACUUUUCAAGUCCUUUCUCAUCAGUACAAGAAAUUAAAAAGGUAUUACGAUUUUCCUCCAUCCUUUAAAAAAGGAGAAUUUCAUCUCUAUUUCCUUAAGCCCUUCCCAAGUGGACUUUUGGGGAAUAUAUGCUGAAAACUCUUUACCAAUGAACCUGGCUCUGAAUUUUAUAACCGCGUAAUUGUUGCACACUUGGGUCACCCAAUGUCAGCUUAUACUCUUGAUUACUUUAAUGAACAGUUGAGUGAAAUGAAAAACACCAGGCAGGGUCCUCAGAAUCAUCUACUCCAUGGUGUCGCUCUUCCUCUCCCCACUUAACUCCCCUCCCCAGACUCUUCCCCAACUGUUAUUUGCAUUCAUGCCUCACUGCAUAUGAACUGGCAUUUGGACUCCUAGCCUUUUCUAUACCAUGAAGAUAGGCACUGGCCUUUAGGUUGCUGAACGUGGACUUUAUAUUCAACAGCAGGGGAAAGGGGGCAUUUGGUAGACAGCAGGAGUCCUGUCUGGAUAGCCCAAGAUUCUAGUCAUGGAAGCCUUCCAGCCUUUUAUUUUGCUAGUUGGGUAUUCUGUGGCUUACUCUAAGGGCUCCAUGUAAUAACACAGAAGUCCAAACCUGCUGUCCUGCCUGAGCAUUUGCAAUUCUACCAGGCUCAUCUUGGACAAGAAGGGGCUUGCCCUGGAGCACUCCCAGGGAGCUCCUCUCUUUAUACUGUUUUGCACUGUGUGUCCCGUUGGUAACUAGCAACAGCUUCCCUACUCCGUUGGGUAAAGUUUACUGGGCACCCUCUGACUGCGUGCGUGAGACCAGUCCCCAGAGUCUAGAGCAGGCUGCCUGCAUACAACCUUGGAGUUUAUAGUUUUGCUUGCAAAUUAUCAUGCUUGUCCAUAGCCAUUCCAUAUUUUGGGUAGACAGGCUAAAACAGAAACCCUCUUCAAACCCUUAUCCGGAGCUAGACCGCCAUAAUUUCUUUCAGGAUUUAGUUGAACCCAGGCCUGUCUCCCCCAGCCAAUUUACACUUCUUAUCUGAUCGUCCAGUCCAGAAGGAAGGUUGAAUUGACCGCGUCUGCCCGUGUCCAUGGUAAUGGUGUUAAAACCCUGGCACAGAUCAAAGCUCUCUACGCGAAGGGGGGAGGGGUAGUUGUUGGUUAUAGAGUCCCUGUUCUUUUGGCCCCAAGCGUUGUGUCCCGGAGGUGGGGACGAUAGGGCUGGGAGUUGCCACCAUCUGAAGAAACCCAUUGUCAGGGCCUGAAUGAUUUCCUGAGCAAAACCCCAGUCCCCUGUGGACCACGAUUAACUAUAGUAAAAGGGAGUUUGUGGCCGGGCGCUGACGCGGAAUGGCUAGCGCCAGGGGGCUCUCCUCUCUGUCUGAAACCCAAAGGAAGGGGAAGCGAAGGGAGGGGGCGAGUAGUGAGCACCAGCCAAUAAGCCAGAGCCUCGAUCCCCUGCUCUUCCCGAGAAAUUCAACCGGAGCCGCAGAAGCGGCGAUCCCCUAAGCUUGGCCAGGAGAACUGAUUCCCACCCCACCAGCACGAUUCUGAGGGGCGACCGGUUCAUUGCACCCCCACCAGUCCCUGAGCUUUAGCCCUGCGCCUUGGAUGCUUUCCACCCAACCGCCGGGCGCCGGUGACCUGGUGGGCACGCUGUGGUGCAGUCAGCCCGAGGCAAAGGGUGGGGCUAGCCGUUUAACCACAGCUCGCCUCACCUCCAUUAACUUGUGUUGAUAUUAAAAAGAAAUCAAUCAGUGAAAAUGAAGCGUUGGCCGUGACCAUUUUUCUCACGUGGAAAAGCAAAGAGCGAGGCGGCAAGGGAGGGGAGGCGGGGAACCCGCCUGCGAUCGCAGAGGUUUCUCCCAAGCAGAGAACCGCCGCUGCUACUUAACUUUCUGGCAAUGGGCAGCGUGGAGCAAAUGCCGCAUGCUUCUCCCUAGGGGUGUCCUUAGUCAGCAGGAGAAGAGGACAAGGCUGGAAGCAGCCAACUUCGCCCAGGCUUGAGCUUUGGUUUUGCUUUCGCUGGGAAUAUUUUUGCCUAAUAGAAUGUUUAUGGAUCGCUCGGCUCUAUUUCUGCUGCGUAGCCCAAACAAAUCGAUGUGGCGUUAGAGACGGCGCUUAAGGGUGGUGUGGCCUGGGGGCCUACCGCGUCCCCACCACGUGGAUGCCCGCGCGCUGCGCGCUCUUCACCUGCUGCAGCGCACCGGCGGACACCCGGCGCGCAGCGCUUCUGCAGGCUGUGCAAUCUGCGCGCGUUUCCGCGGCUGGAGCUGCCUCCUUCCCGCCACUCUCCUCCCUCCGCUCCGAAAUCCCACCCGGCUUCCCGCCACCCAGCUGGGUCAGGACGCGGAGCCCCAGCUCCGUCGGCCCCGAGCCUCAGUCCCUUACAGCCGAGGCGGCGGGCUGCCCUCAUGCACCUUCCGUCUUCCCUUUCACCCGACUGCUUCUCCGAAUGAGUUCCCGCCGCCGCUGGCGGCGGCUGGGCCGGCCCCCACCCAGCCGGCGAGCACCGGGUCCUCGCGGCCAGUCUUCACCUUUAUUCUUGCUGGCUCCUCACCUCACCAGGAGGAGGGUAGCUCUUGAAAUCAGCAAAGAGGGAACCAGCCGGGAAGAGGGGACGGGUUUCCUCUCUCAAAAAAAAAAAUAAA